AACGAACGCUGGCGGCAGGCCUAACACAUGCAAGUCGAGCGCGCCUUUCGGGGUGAGCGGCGGACGGGUUAGUAACGCGUGGGAACGUACCCUUUUCUGCGGAAUAGCCUCUGGAAACGGAGAGUAAUACCGCAUACGCCCUUUGGGGGAAAGAUUUAUCGGAGAAGGAUCGGCCCGCGUUAGAUUAGAUAGUUGGUGGGGUAACGGCUUACCAAGUCUACGAUCUAUAGCUGGUUUUAGAGGAUGAUCAGCAACACUGGGACUGAGACACGGCCCAGACUCCUACGGGAGGCAGCAGUGGGGAAUCUUGGACAAUGGGCGCAAGCCUGAUCCAGCCAUGCCGCGUGAGUGAAGAAGGCCUUAGGGUCGUAAAGCUCUUUCGCCUGUGAUGAUAAUGACAGUAGCAGGUAAAGAAACCCCGGCUAACUCCGUGCCAGCAGCCGCGGUAAUACGGAGGGGGUUAGCGUUGUUCGGAAUUACUGGGCGUAAAGCGCGCGUAGGCGGAUUGGAAAGUUGGGGGUGAAAUCCCGAGGCUCAACCUCGGAACUGCCUCCAAAACUCCCAGUCUAGGGUUCGAGAGAGGUGAGUGGAAUUCCGAGUGUAGAGGUGUAAUUCGUAGAUAUUCGGAAGAACACCAGUGGCGAAGGCGGCUCACUGGCUCGAUACUGACGCUGAGGUGCGAAAGUGUGGGGAGCAAACAGGAUUAGAUACCCUGGUAGUCCACACCGUAAACGAUGAAUGCCAGUCGUCGGAUAGUAUACUAUUCGGUGACACACCUAACGGAUUAAGCAUUCCGCCUGGGGAGUACGGUCGCAAGAUUA
Molecule: ribosomal RNA, 821 nt
Filed under: uncultured marine bacterium
Lineage: Bacteria
Description: bacterial SSU rRNA
Rfam family: Bacterial small subunit ribosomal RNA
Source: RNAcentral